UACAGAGGACUCAAGCGUUGUUCGGAUUCAUUGGGCGUAAAGGGUGCGUAGGUGGCGAUGUAAGUCUGGUGUGAAAUCUCGGGGCUCAACCUCGAAAUUGCAUUGGAUACUGCGUUGCUUGAGGAUUGUAGAGGAGAGUGGAAUUCACGGUGUAGCAGUGAAAUGCGUAGAUAUCGUGAGGAAGACCAGUUGCGAAGGCGACUCUCUGGGCAAUUCCUGACACUGAGGCACGAAGGCUAGGGGAGCAAACGGG
Molecule: ribosomal RNA, 253 nt
Filed under: uncultured bacterium
Lineage: Bacteria
Description: partial 16S ribosomal RNA
Rfam family: Bacterial small subunit ribosomal RNA
Source: RNAcentral